RNAcentral lists this ribosomal RNA (495 nucleotides) under uncultured bacterium. Its description in RNAcentral is "partial 16S ribosomal RNA". It matches the Rfam family "Bacterial small subunit ribosomal RNA", at positions 28 to 507 of the family's 1533-position model. The record is from RNAcentral.
GAUGAACGCUGGCGGCGUGCCUAAUACAUGCAAGUCGAGCGAACGGACGAGAAGCUUGCUUCUCUGAUGUUAGCGGCGGACGGGAGUAACACGUGGAUAACCUACCUAUAAGACUGGGAUAACUUCGGGAAACCGUAGCUAAUACCGGAUAAUAUUUUGAACCGCAUGGUUCAAAAGUGAAAGACGGUCUUGCUGUCACUUAUAGAUGGAUCCGCGCUGCAUUAGCUAGUUGGUAAGGUAACGGCUUACCAAGGCAACGAUGCAUAGCCGACCUGAGAGGGUGAUCGGCCACACUGGAACUGAGACACGGUCCAGACUCCUACGGGAGGCAGCAGUAGGGAAUCUUCCGCAAUGGGCGAAAGCCUGACGGAGCAACGCCGCGUGAGUGAUGAAGGUCUUCGGAUCGUAAAACUCUGUUAUUAGGGAAGAACAUAUGUGUAAGUAACUGUGCACAUCUUGACGGUACCUAAUCAGAAAGCCACGGCUAACUACGUG